AAUGGCGGCUAGGAACCUCCACACAGGACCAUGGUAGCUGCAAUGAGGGUGAGUUGAGAAAGAGCUACCAUUGUAUAUCAUACAAGCUCAAGGGCCUGAGACAUACAAAGCACAAACGGAUCAAUAACCAGGUCUUUCUUUCUCCUGAUCAGGGCAGGAGCCAUUUACGGUGAGUCUGGGGAGAGAAGUCUUGAACACCAAAAUACCCCUACCGUUUUACAAGUCUUAGUCAACCAAGUCUCAAAGAAUAGAGAGUGGAAGAGGUUGGUCCAAAACCAGACAGCGCUCAUUCAGUGAUCGUACAUUUUGGAAUGUAAGGGUGGUUGGAAUGGACUGUUUCUAUAUGGGGAACUAAAGCCAGGGUUCAAGAAACCUGUGGGAACGAUCGUACAACAUUAGAAGUUCCUUGGUUUAGUAGAGAAAAAGACUCUACACACCCAAAGGAUUGUGUAUUGACCAUCAUUGGUUUAACUGUCUCCUGACGGGGGCUGGAGGAUGCUCUUCAAGACGUUAAGAGGCAGACUGUGGGUGUGCGUUGAGGGGGAUGUAACUCCGUGGGAAGGCUGUGCAAGCAUGAGGACCUGGGUUCAGGUCCCAGCGCCUACAUAAAACCUGGGAGGCUGGAGCUUCUAUCACUAACUUCAGCAGUGCUAGGGGAGGGAUGGAGACAGGUGGAUUCUGGGGGCUGGCUGCCAGCCAGUCUAGAUGAAACAGUAAGUUCUAGGUUCAGUUGGAGUCUGUUUCAAAAAAUAAGGAGGAAAAGCCAGGUGGUGGUGGCACACACCUUUAAUCCUAGCACUUGGGAGGUGGAGGCAGGUGGACCUCUGUGUUCGAGGUCAGCCUGGUCUGCAGAGCGAGUUCCAGGUCGGCCAGGGCUACACAGAGAUCCUGUCUCCAAACAAAGAAACAAAAACGAAGAGGAAAUCGAUAAAGGAAGCCACCUCCUAGUGACCUCUGUUCUCUAUGUGUUGAUACACACAUUUAUACAUACAUCACACACACACACACACACACACACACACACACACACACACACACACACACACACACAAUGUGAGGGGAGGGCACAGCAACGCACUUGGACAGCUCAGGAGAGGCUGGUUGUCGCGCAGGAAUGAAGUAGAAGUGCAGCCAUGAGGCAGCGCGAAGGAUUGAAGAGAUGCUGGUGGGCCGGACGUCACGUGAUUAGGCAGGCUGGUGAUUGACAGGUCAUGUCACCACUGUUGUUAGCCCAACUCCACCGAACUGGACCGCUGGUGUAUAUGCGAAGCAUUGAGAAUGGAUUGAGCUGCCACUGCCUGCUGACCUGUGAACUGAAAGCUGAUUCCAGACAACACAGGUCCCCAUAGAAGAUGCCUUGGACAAGUGGUCCACCAUGGAAGGGACACGUCCUAGUUGCUCAGGAUUCUGACGUAAAUCCAAGCUGAGUAUGAACUUAUAACCUGAAGCAUCAAGCCAUCCUUGGUUCUACCUGUCCCAGUAAGGUGCUGCAGAAGUAGGGCAGCAUCACCAAACUGCCACACAAGAAAACUAAAAAUUUAACACAGAUACAGUUGAAAAGACUUAAGAGUGAAAGAAACCCCAAAACCAAAUUCAAGCGAAAGCCAUAUAUAUAUAUAUCCUGAGGAUUUACCCAUGUACCAUGUAGAGCUUCUAAAAAUAAAAAUCAUGGUUACUAGAAUGCAGGCAGGAUGGACAGCAAGUUAAACACAGUUAAAGAGAGAAUUACUGCUUUGGAAGUCAGAAUUGGGAAAACUAUCCAGAAUGCAAAAUGUUUCCAGGUAUAGCUUAGUGGUGGAGUGCUUGCUAAACAUGCACAAAGUCUUGGGAGAGAGAGAGGGAGAAAAGAAGAAGGAGAAGGAGGAGGAGGAGGAGGAGGAGGAGGAGGAGGAGG
Rattus norvegicus (Norway rat) is the source of this 1894-nucleotide long non-coding RNA. RefSeq lists it as uncharacterized. Lineage: Eukaryota; Metazoa; Chordata; Mammalia; Rodentia; Muridae. The record is from RefSeq and is a predicted model, not a curated record.